CCUACGGGAGGCAGCAGUGGGGAAUAUUGCGCAAUGGGCGAAAGCCUGACGCAGCGACGCCGCGUGAGGGAUGAAGGUCUUCGGAUCGUAAACCUCUGUCAGCAGGGAAGAACGGUCACUGUGCUAAUCAGCAGUGAAUUGACGGUACCUGCAAAGGAAGCACCGGCUAAAUCCGUGCCAGCAGCCGCGGUAAUACGGAGGGUGCGAGCGUGAAUCGGAAUUACUGGGCGGAAAGCGCUCGUAGGCGGUAUGUCAAGUCAAGGGUGAAAUCCCCGAGCUCAACGUGGGAACUGCCUUUGAAACUGGCAGACUGGAGUGGGUGAGAGGAUAGUGGAAUUCCAGGUGUAGGAGUGAAAUCCGUAGAUAUCUGGAGGAACAUCAGUGGCGAAGGCGACUAUCUGGCACAUAACUGACGCUGAGGAGCGAAAGCGUGGGUAGCAAACAGGAUUAGAUACCCCAGUAGUC
RNAcentral lists this ribosomal RNA (465 nucleotides) under uncultured bacterium. RNAcentral describes it as "partial 16S ribosomal RNA". It matches the Rfam family "Bacterial small subunit ribosomal RNA", at positions 338 to 795 of the family's 1533-position model. The record is from RNAcentral.